This 23-nucleotide non-coding RNA is filed under the name Arabidopsis thaliana (thale cress). Lineage: Eukaryota; Viridiplantae; Streptophyta; Magnoliopsida; Brassicales; Brassicaceae. The record is from RNAcentral.
UAUUGAAUGAACUCUAACCUUCU